GCUUUCUGAAAACUUUAAGAUAGAUGAAGGAGCGAGUCGAUAAUGCAAUUAUUUUGGCAUGGAUAAAGAUCACAACAAGGCGUUAGCAGAAGAGUUGCUCCUUUUCAAGAAUGGCUUCAUUAUGGGCACAACUGAUUCCUUCGAUAUUUGACGAUUUUUUAGUGAAGUUAUUGAAAAUUUUCAAACCUAAACAGGUAUUGAUAUU
This is a long non-coding RNA of Quercus lobata, 205 nucleotides long. RefSeq lists it as uncharacterized. NCBI's taxonomy places the organism in Eukaryota, Viridiplantae, Streptophyta, Magnoliopsida, Fagales, Fagaceae. The record is from RefSeq and is a predicted model, not a curated record. The transcript has 3 exons.